This 460-nucleotide ribosomal RNA is filed under the name uncultured Ferruginibacter sp. RNAcentral's name for it is "partial 16S ribosomal RNA". Lineage: Bacteria; Pseudomonadati; Bacteroidota; Chitinophagia; Chitinophagales; Chitinophagaceae. The record is from RNAcentral.
GACUACAGGGGUAUCUAAUCCUGUUUGAUCCCCACGCUUUCGUGCCUCAGUGUCAAUAAUCCCGUAGCGAGCUGCCUUCGCAAUUGGUGUUCUAUGUCAUAUCUAAGCAUUUCACCGCUACAUGACAUAUUCCGCUCACCUCCAGGAUAUUCAAGACAGAUAGUAUCAAUGGCAGUUUCCGGGUUAAGCCCGGAGAUUUCACCGCUGACUUAACUGCCCACCUACGCACCCUUUAAACCCAGUAAAUCCGGAUAACGCUUGCACCCUCCGUAUUACCGCGGCUGCUGGCACGGAGUUAGCCGGUGCUUAUUCCUAGGGUACCGUCAAGUGCUCAAGAAUGAGCUUUUUUCGUCCCCUAUAAAAGAAGUUUACAACCCAGAGGGCCUUCAUCCUUCACGCGGCAUGGCUGGUUCAGACUUUCGUCCAUUGACCAAUAUUCCUUACUGCAGCCCCCCGUAGG